AUGUGCAUUCCUACAACAUAAUGUUAAUGCAUCAGAUCCCAUUAUAAAUCUGCAAUUAAGCGUGUUUAGGCUAGAGUAGUACUGGGAUGGGUGACCACUCAGGAAUUCCUAGUGUUUUACAUG
This is a non-coding RNA of Picea glauca (white spruce), 123 nucleotides long. Lineage: Eukaryota; Viridiplantae; Streptophyta; Pinopsida; Pinales; Pinaceae. The record is from Rfam.